UGGGUCAAUAUCCCUAAUGGACCUUGAGAUGAGGAACACAGAUUUAUGACUCUCAUUAAAAAAUUAGUCCGCCAUACAAUCGUGGAAGCUGUGAUUUUAAAAAUUGACAUAAAUGAACUAGGACUGGUGUUUUAUAGAGCUGAUGUGAUGUGAAAAAAAGUAUAAAAAAAUAAACCUGAACAAAUAAUUACAAAGGACAUAUUUUUUAAUGAUUUUUAUGGUCAGAAUUUAGGGAUUAUUUCCUGAGGAGAGUGACAUUUUUCACUAUCGUUCGGGGUUGGGCACUUGACGGGAAAACGAAUCACACUUGCCACCCCGAAAAUCGCACCACACAUGUGCAAGUGUCUCAGCUUCAAAAUGAGCCAUCAUACAUAUCCAAGUUUACGAUAUGGCCUGAGCAACAGAAGAAAACGUUAACAUUACCGCCUAUGGAGAAUCUAUUACGCAUAUUGCCCCAAAUUGUGGCCUUGAAUUUCAAAGGUGAUGGAGUGUUUCAUGGCUCAGUGACCACAAUUUAGGAUGAUAGCUGCUGAAAUCAAGAUAUGGCUAAAACUUCACAGAAUUGUUCAGAAAUGUGUACUAAAGGGAUACAAACUGCAAUAUAAGUGGAAUCUGACAUAAGCUGAUCUAAUAUGGGUCAAUAUCCCUAAUGGACCUUGAGAUGAGGAACACAGAUUUAUGACUCUCAUUAAAAAAUUAGUCCGCCAUACAAUCGUGGAAGCUGUGAUUUUAAAAAUUGACAUAAAUGAACUAGGACUGGUGUUUUAUAGAGCUGAUGUGAUGUGAAAAAAAGUAUAAAAAAAUAAACCUGAACAAAUAAUUACAAAGGA
Molecule: long non-coding RNA, 830 nt
Organism: Mytilus californianus (California mussel)
Lineage: Eukaryota; Metazoa; Mollusca; Bivalvia; Mytilida; Mytilidae
Exons: 2
Source: RefSeq, a predicted model, not a curated record